GAGAGUAGAAACCCUGGGGAUCCAGAUCCUGAAGGAAGGGUUUAUCCAGAAGGGUGGUGGAGUGGAAGCCUGAGAGAGACAGAGUAGGAAAAGGCUCAGGGAAACAGCUGCAAGGUGGGACAUUGCAGACCUUGACUGCUGAUAGAGGGUCUCUAGACUGGAACUUAGAAUAGGAGAUGGGCCUGGUUUCCCCUACCAGCCACUGAGGUGGAGUCUGGGCAGGGAAUUGGAAAACUGUCUGAUCAAGUUUGGAUGGAGAUUCUUUUACACUCAGGAAGGAGGAAUACACGUAGUGACCUGGCCAGAGGACCAAGCCAUGAAGAGGAAGCAACCAAGUCAUGAAUAGGAAGUGCACAGAGUCCCAGAGAACACAAGGAGAGAGUGGAGUGAUGGAAGGGGGAAUCAUCUCAGGAGCAGUCAGAAGGAGGUGCCCCAGUAGUGAGUGAACCCUGUUACAGGUGUCCUUUUCUCUGAUUCCUGAAUUGAAUAAUAUAUAGUGUAAUCUUCUGGAAAAGACCGGGUUUUAAAUACUAAAAGAUUUGCCUGCACAACAUUGCUUGAAUGCUGAACCUAAACAGAAGAACCCAGUAAAACAUCACUGGCUGAGCAGAGUCUUCCAAGAGAGUGAACCUCAAUGUGAAUGGUGCUCCACAGCUAGGAUUUCUACGCCCCAGAUGCUCAAAGGCUAAUGCACCGAUGAAGGGCCACUACUUAACCAAUAUACAGUACUACAAUUCCAUUCUGGUGGCUGCAUGGCGUCAUAUUAUUGAAGUACACUGUGCUGAUAACUUCAAACUCAUGUCACAUCACUGAAAUAUUUCUGUAGAAGAAUAGAUUUCAUUGAGAAACAGAGAAUUAUCAAGCACACCUGGAACCAUAAUGUCUUAUGUCUAUCAAUUCAAACCCUGCUUGACUCACUAAUGUUUUUUUCACCUCAUCAAAAAUCUGUCUCUUUAUACCAAUAAUCACUCAUCUUUGGAUAUUUGUUUCCCAUCUCAAGAUUGAUAGGAAGGGGCGGCUUUUAAAAAUCAUUUAUAUGUAGUGUAGAGGUGGAUUUAAAAUAUUGCCUAGGUCCCUUUGAGCCUUUUUACUAGCCUAAUGAAUCUCUCUCUCUCUGAAUAUUGUUUCUCUCACAACUGCCAGGCCAUGGCCCUAGGCUUCUAAAGCAUUUAGCACUCUCCUUUUAUCCUAAAUAAAAUAAGAUCUCGGGCUCUGGUAUUCCUUGAAAGUAAUAAUCCAGAUUAAUUCAAGCUUCUGUAGCAGUGUGGAAACAGUUUCCCAUUCGAUCUGCAACUAAAUCUAGAGACUUCCCCCACAGAAAAUACACACACAUACACAACACACACACAGAGUACGUAGAAUGCCUUGAAGAAACUGUAGCUAACCACCUUAUUAGUAUUCCUCCCUCCUCUGUGUUUCACUUGCAGCAACAGAGGGCUGAGCAAAAUGCAGUAGAACAGGGACAGAGACAGAGCUGGCAAUCAUCUCAAUGCAGGCUGCUGAAUGUAGGGGGUGGGGGGAUGCAGCAAAGCAAGAUUAAUAACCUUGCCAUAAUCCUGUGCACUCUGGAAGGAGAUACCUCUGGUGACGGAGCCAUUCUUGUCUUGAUUAAUUGGACUGAGUGAGUGAGUGGCUGGCAAUCCACCUGGUUUGGAGGGGACCCCUGUGUUUUGCUGUUCUUUGAAUCCUCUACCCAUCUGAGAAGGUAACAGUGAGACAUACCAUCUGCAGCACACACAGCAGCUAUUGGAGGCUACUACUGACAGUUUGCACUACAGUUUUUGGUGAGCAAGAAGCCAGGUAUCGUGUACAGUGGAGAUUAAUAUAUCCAGGGCACUCAAUUUCACAGUCUGGUCCCUCAGCCACCUCCCCCCACCAAACACCCUUUCCCAAUUGCCUUUGAGUUCUGGGCUCACUUUUGACAUAGUCUUUUGGACACAUUUUGCUGGGAAUGGAAGAUCAGUAAAUGGAACCUUUGAAAACUAAUCAUUUUGCUUCUAUGUGACUUGAAAAAAUAAACAGAAAAAGAAGAAUUCAAGUCCAUCUGGAGGAAUUUUUAAUUUCCUUUGGAGAAGUUUUAGGAGGGACCAUCUAAAAGUUUCACCUACUAUGUCAUUGAUCAUAUUUUGUGUGAGAUCACAUCUACCUUGCCAGCUGGGAGGAAUGGAACAUCCAGUGUAUGUGGUACAUCAUGA
Mauremys reevesii (Reeves's turtle) is the source of this 2195-nucleotide long non-coding RNA. RefSeq lists it as uncharacterized. Lineage: Eukaryota; Metazoa; Chordata; Testudines; Geoemydidae. The record is from RefSeq and is a predicted model, not a curated record. The transcript has 3 exons.